AUUGAACGCUGGCGGCAGGCCUAACACAUGCGAGUCGAGCGGAUGAAGGGAGCUUGCUCCUGGAUUCAGCGGCGGACGGGUGAGUAAUGCCUAGGAAUCUGCCUGGUAGUGGGGGAUAACGUCCGGAAACGGGCGCUAAUACCGCAUACGUCCUGAGGGAGAAAGUGGGGGAUCUUCGGACCUCACGCUAUCAGACGAGCCUAGGUCGGAUUAGCUAGUUGGUGGGGUAAAGGCCUACCAAGGCGACGAUCCGUAACUGGUCUGAGAGGAUGAUCAGUCACACUGGAACUGAGACACGGUCCAGACUCCUACGGGAGGCAGCAGUGGGGAAUAUUGGACAAUGGGCGAAAGCCUGAUCCAGCCAUGCCGCGUGUGUGAAGAAGGUCUUCGGAUUGUAAAGCACUUUAAGUUGGGAGGAAGGGCAGUAAGUUAAUACCUUGCUGUUUUGACGUUACCAACAGAAUAAGCACCGGCUAACUUCGUG
Molecule: ribosomal RNA, 484 nt
Filed under: uncultured bacterium
Lineage: Bacteria
Description: partial 16S ribosomal RNA
Rfam family: Bacterial small subunit ribosomal RNA
Source: RNAcentral